AAAUAGAACUUUGCAGAGAGAGUUAACAGGGCGUGAAACCGUUAAUUGAGAAACGAAUCGGAGCCACGAAGUCGUUUCGUAGAUGAGUCGGGACUGAAUUCAGUUUGCAAACUUCGGUUUGUGGGCGUAUUUUUGGUCUGGCUAUCUUUGUAAGCGUACACUGCAACCAGUUAGACGAUUGACGAUGGACCCAGUUGCUAGUGCUCAUAGUAGAAGUAGUGCUGUCCUUCGCAAGUUGGAUUGGUGUUGCUGGCUAUGUUGCAAGAGAACUAUCGUCAAAAACUGACUGGCACAAUGAAAAUCGCUCGCAAGAGCGUGUUCAAAUAACGCGGCUAGCCACAUAUAGGUCUACACAAGCGUCCAUUAGGUCUUUAAGUUCGGCAUCUUUGAAUUUGGACUUGCUUGCUACCAAUGGGGUAACUCUUGGUGCUUGUAUAGUUUCCAUCUAAUCAGGUGUUGACUUGGCUUGGUGUAGUUCGUUUGUGCUUCGAUUGGGCUUAUAUGCGAGUUGGUUCGCAACUUUAUUGGCAGUGAGUAGGUCGGCUUUCCGAACGACCCGUCUUGAAACACGGACCAAGGAGUCUAAUUAGGCAUCAAGUCGAUCGGUCUUGUAUAGGCCAGAAGGCGUAGAGACAAUCAAGUGAUCCUGGGUGCAAACAGCCCCUUGGCGCAACUUGUGCCUGUCCGUAUAGCAAUGUAGCAAUAAUUGCUGGGCGGAGCAAAGAGAUGCUUGAUUGGUACCCGAAAGAUGGUGAUGCUUGGGCAAAUUGAAGCCAGAGGAAACUCUGGUGGAGGAUUUAGAUUCUGACGUGCAAAUCGAUCGUCAGACCUGAGUUAGGGGCGAAAGACUAAUCGAACCAUC
This 862-nucleotide ribosomal RNA is filed under the name Parneometaculus persicariae. RNAcentral's name for it is "partial large subunit ribosomal RNA". It matches the Rfam family "Eukaryotic large subunit ribosomal RNA", at positions 366 to 944 of the family's 3401-position model. Lineage: Eukaryota; Metazoa; Arthropoda; Arachnida; Trombidiformes; Eriophyidae. The record is from RNAcentral.